This 301-nucleotide ribosomal RNA is filed under the name uncultured bacterium. Its description in RNAcentral is "partial 16S ribosomal RNA". It matches the Rfam family "Bacterial small subunit ribosomal RNA", at positions 509 to 807 of the family's 1533-position model. The record is from RNAcentral.
CAGUCGCCACGGGAAUACGAAGGGGGCCAGCGUUGUUCGGAUUUACUGGGCGUAAAGGGCGCGUAGGCGGACUGAUAAGUCAGGGGUGAAAUCCCAAGGCUCAACCUUGGAACUGCCUUUGAUACUGUUUGUCUUGAGUUCGAGAGAGGUAAGUGGAACUGCGAGUGUAGCGGUGAAAUGCGUAGAUAUCGGAAGGAACACCAGUGGCGAAGGCGGCUACCUGGAUUGACACUGACACUGAGGCGCGAGAGCGUGGGGAGCAAACAGGAUUAGAUACCCCUGUAGUCCCUGUCUCUUAUAC